Molecule: long non-coding RNA, 1595 nt
Organism: Andrographis paniculata
Lineage: Eukaryota; Viridiplantae; Streptophyta; Magnoliopsida; Lamiales; Acanthaceae
Exons: 7
Source: RefSeq, a predicted model, not a curated record
ACUCCACGGACGCGCCUGAGCCAGUGAGCACCCAAAAACAGGUUCUCCCUCUUCCUUCUUCCUCAGUUCCUCUCAUUUCUUUCCUUUUUUCUUCCAACCUCCGUCCUUCUCCUCCUUUCCUCUUCUUCUUUUACUGUGCGCCUGCCUGCCCCUGUAAAACUAAAAUCGACUCUCCCUCCAUCCUCUCUUUUCUUCAAGCCGAAGUCAUCAGUUGCCGUUGGGGCGCGGACGAUGACGUUCGGCAGCGCUGUUUCCAUGAACGCCGCCACCGAGAGCUUUGGUGGCGCCACCAAUUCUUCUCCACCAUCCACCGUUGACUAUGAAGAUCCUACAUACAUCGUCAGCUAUGGGGAACCACUUUGAUUAAGAUUCAGACUUCGUAUUGAAAUUUGUGAUCAAUUUAUAUGAGGUUAUUAUAAUUCAUGUGGAAGAGAAUUAUCAGAGGCAAAUGGAUAUAGACUUCCUCCACCAGAGAUCAGAAAUAUUGUUGAUGCUCCUCCCCUUCCAACACUAUCAUUUUCACCUGGUAGGGAUAAAAUACUCUUCCUAAAAAAGGAGAUCAUUGCCUCCUCUGGAAGAAUUGGCAAGGCCUGAGGAGAAGCUUGCUGGAAUUCGCAUUGAUCCCAGAUGUAAUUCCCGGACUCGAAUGUCAUAUUAUACAGGGAUUGGAAUCUAUCGGAUAAUGGAGGACUGUACAUUGGGACCUGAAAAAGAAGUACAUGGUCUUCCAAGUGGUGCAAAAAUCAAUUUUGUUUCGUGGGAACCCUUGAACUGAAGGAUGCCAGCCUAUAAGAUUGUGGAUAGCAGAUGUUGAGACUGGAAAAGCAAGACCCCUUUUUCAGGCUCCAGACAUUUUUAUAAAUGCAGUUUUUGAAAACUUUGUGUGUGGUUAACAACUCAACACUGUUGGUUUGUACUAUUUCUCUAUCUCGAGGAGAUCCUCCAAAGAAACCUAUGAUUCCUUCUGGUCCUAAAAUUCAAUCUAAUGAACAGAAGGAGGUCAUUCAAACAAGAACAUUUCAAGAUCUUCUCAAAGAUGAUGUGCCUUAUGACUAUGUUAUAACUUUAUAAGAUUUAAUCUUAUUUAUAUUUUCUCAUAAUUCCGAACUAUAUUUAAGAUUUUUGAUAAUGUACUUUCAAUUGUAGAUGUCGCAAGGAUCCAAUGAAGAACAACGAAGCCAGAACAUCCGCCAUCUGGCAAGGUCACAAAUGUUGUUGUGGCAGGCGGAAACGUAAAAGGAGCAACAUGAGCCGAGACUUUAUGAGACCCAAGUAGGAGAAGGGUCAGGUACGUCUGCAGAUGCUACAUCGGCCAAGAAUACACAGACUACUACAUCACGUAAGUAAAUUCAUAACUAUUCAUUGUGUAUUCUAAUCAAUGCAGAAGUACAUCAGGUGGGAUCCGGCUCAUAAGGAAAAGGUCUUAAAGAAACUUAAUACUAGGGCACAAGAGGCCUAUAACAAGUGGAUGAGUGAUAUUCGAGGUGGGCGGGAUAUACUAGGACAUUGGAGAUGGAGUUUAUUUUGUAUUACAUGGUACUUACUAUUUGGAUGGUUAAAAUGAUUUCUUAUAAUGUUAGUUUGUGCUUGCUUGA